GUAGGAGAGCUGCCUCUGAGAAACGACGUUCGAUCUUCUCUCCAUUUUAAACUUGCUCAGUAACCACAAAGACUGUAUGAAGGAGUUGGGAUCCCAUCCUGUCAUUGGAGGCAAAGAUGCUGAGCCGUGCACCAGAGAACCAGGAAACUCUCUGAAUAAUUGUAGGACUCCUGACAGGAAGAGGGCUUAUAACAUCCUUUACGCAGUGAACAGGAAAAUCCUGAGCCAAAGCAGCCUAGAAUGUGAGGUAAGUUUCACAACUUGACAGUCA
RNAcentral lists this long non-coding RNA (271 nucleotides) under Mus spicilegus (steppe mouse). RNAcentral describes it as "lncRNA (ENSMSIG00000030666.1)". Lineage: Eukaryota; Metazoa; Chordata; Mammalia; Rodentia; Muridae. The record is from RNAcentral.